RNAcentral lists this ribosomal RNA (300 nucleotides) under uncultured Desulfurococcus sp. RNAcentral's name for it is "partial 16S ribosomal RNA". The stretch from base 52 to 300 matches the Rfam family "Bacterial small subunit ribosomal RNA", at positions 547 to 795 of the family's 1533-position model. Lineage: Archaea; Thermoproteati; Thermoproteota; Thermoprotei; Desulfurococcales; Desulfurococcaceae. The record is from RNAcentral.
GGAACAUGGGGGGCAGCGGGGGGGGUAAAGGGUGGGGGGGGUGCGUGAUCCGGAUUGUCUGGGCGUAAGGGGCGUGCGGGUGGUGGGGUAAGUUGGUUGGGAAAUCGCUUGGCUUAACUGGGAGGGGACGCUCAAGACUGCUCGGCUUGGGGUCGAGAGAGGGGUGCAGAAUUCCCGGUGUAGUGGUGGAAUGCGUAGAUAUCGGGAGGAAUACCAGUGGCGAAAGCGGCGCCCUGGCUCGCACCUGACACUGAGGCGCGAAAGCGUGGGGAGCGAACGGGAUUAGAUACCCCGGUAGUC